GGCCUGAUAGCUCAGGGGUUAAGAGCACUAGACAUGUAAUCCAAACUUAGUGGUUGCUGGUUCAAAUCCAAAGAGCACUAGACAUGUAAUCCAAACUUAGUGGUUGCUGGUUCAAAUCCAGCUCAGGUCA
Molecule: non-coding RNA, 130 nt
Organism: Hysterangium stoloniferum
Lineage: Eukaryota; Fungi; Basidiomycota; Agaricomycetes; Hysterangiales; Hysterangiaceae
Source: the annotation of a GenBank genome assembly